GUGAAUCAUCGAAUUUUUGAACGCAAAUUGCACUCUCCGCGUAGAGGAUGCCUGUUUGAUGGUUAGCCUAUAAAAAAUCGACAUCGUUGCUGUUUCGCGGUGUUGUUCGUUGGAUAUUGGCUUAUCUUAGAUCCUCUUGGGUUUUAAUCGUCUUAAAAUUUUCUUUUUGUUUCCAUGUACGUUUCUAAGAUUUAUUUCUUUACACGUUUUAGUUAUCGAUUUUUAUUAGACGUGACCAUCAUAUCGGAUCGCGUCCAUAAUCUUUCACUAACUGACCUCAGACAG
Molecule: unclassified non-coding RNA, 285 nt
Filed under: Glomeraceae sp.
Lineage: Eukaryota; Fungi; Glomeromycota; Glomeromycetes; Glomerales; Glomeraceae
Description: partial internal transcribed spacer 2
Source: RNAcentral